This 1041-nucleotide long non-coding RNA is filed under the name Coturnix japonica (Japanese quail). RNAcentral describes it as "lncRNA (ENSCJPG00005014898.1)". Lineage: Eukaryota; Metazoa; Chordata; Aves; Galliformes; Phasianidae. The record is from RNAcentral.
GUUUGGCUCACUCCUUAGCGAGCUGUUGGAGAGGGUUUGGCUCACUCCUUAGCGAGCUGCGAUUUUCACUCCUUUGCGAUCCUGUGCUUCAUUGAAAUGGAGCAACGAGGUGAAGGCGAGCGUGGGGACUGGCCAGCUUUGGUUAGGGAAACAGUUUCCCUGGUGCUCUUCACCGUGGUUGUGGUGCCCUUCGGCGUUUACUGCAUUGGAAACGCUGUUGAAGGGGUCAGGACGGCGGCAGGACUGACUCCAAGGUAAAAAACAAAACAAUCUCCCUUUGGCUAGACCGUUCUUGAGAGGAGCUCUGCCCCUUGUCCGUGACCACUUCUUACCCGAGUCACACUUCUAUGGCACAGUGCCUGUGCUUCUCCCAUUAAACCCAGUUCUCUAACUCCAGCUUUUCUCCUUCAAGCGCAAUACUAAGGCUUUCCACGAUCCCCCAGAGUUACCCAGGAAGCACCUUCUUGGUUGGGAUCUCGUGGAGCUUGCCAACCAGCGUAGUCAAGUCUCAACUGAAUCUUGGCUACCCCGUUGUCACGCGCAGUGAGGCUUGUUCGCUGCCUCACAGUGCCAUGGCUUGUGAGAGGAGAGCCGUGUCCACUUCUCAUCCCGACCUAGUACCUUCUGUCUCCCAGGCCGUUGUUAGGGAAGUUUGUGUUAAUCUGGAAAUGCUGAGCCGCGAAGAAGAGCAGAAUAAGAUCCAGCGGCAGCUUCAUUUCCUGCAGUCUCGUUGGGGGAGCGAAGGACAUAUUACUGUGCUUGAUUGCCUCGCCAAAAGGUUCUUCCAAGAUCAAUGAGCGUCCCAGGCCAACUACUUCACCGGCGAGGCUGUUCAAGACAUGAUCAAUCAAGUACUGGAGAAGCUGGAAGAAAGCCCAUUCCGGAUGCCGAAUUAUGCCAGCAAGACUUCAGGCGCUGCUGCUAUCGUUCAUUCUCCAAGACUUCUCCCUCCUGGACUGGAAGUGGAAAGUCUUUUUGUUGUCCCACUUUCAUGUUAGAGUUUGCUGUGCCGGUACACUAUGAUGAGGGCCCCUGAGAUAC